AUUGAACGCUGGCGGCAGGCCUAACACAUGCAAGUCGAACGAGUGGCGGACGGGUGAGUAAUUUCUGGGAAACUGCCUGAUGGAGGGGGAUAACUACUGGAAACGGUAGCUAAUACCGCAUACCAUCGGAUGUGCCCAGAUGGGAUUAGCUAGUAGGUGGGGUAAAGGCUCACCUAGGCGACGCUCCCUAGCUGGUCUGAGAGGAUGACCAGCCACACUGGAAAGGAGACACGGUCCAGACUCCUACGGGAGUCAGGAGUGGGGAAUAGUGGACUAUGGGCGAAAGCCUGAUGCAGCCAUGCCGCGUGUAUGAAGAAGGCCUUCGGGUUGUAAAGUACUUUCAGCGGGGAGGGGUUACCCGCAGAAGAAGCACCAGCUAACUCCGUGCCAGCAGCCGCGGUAAUAC
RNAcentral lists this ribosomal RNA (406 nucleotides) under uncultured bacterium. RNAcentral describes it as "partial 16S ribosomal RNA". It matches the Rfam family "Bacterial small subunit ribosomal RNA", at positions 30 to 526 of the family's 1533-position model. The record is from RNAcentral.